This 197-nucleotide ribosomal RNA is filed under the name uncultured Desulfurella sp. Its description in RNAcentral is "partial 16S ribosomal RNA". It matches the Rfam family "Bacterial small subunit ribosomal RNA", at positions 338 to 525 of the family's 1533-position model. The record is from RNAcentral. Lineage: Bacteria; Pseudomonadati; Campylobacterota; Desulfurellia; Desulfurellales; Desulfurellaceae.
CCUACGGGAGGCAGCAGUGGGGAAUAUUGGGCAAUGGGAGAAAUCCUGACCCAGCAACGCCGCGUGGAGGACGAAGGCCUUCGGGUUGUAAACUCCUGUCAGUAGGGAAAAAGGCUGCAAAAGCCAAUACCUUUUGCAGCUUGAUGGUACCUGCAAAGGAAGCACCGGCUAACUACGUGCCAGCAGCCGCGGUAAUA